This 508-nucleotide ribosomal RNA is filed under the name uncultured bacterium. RNAcentral's name for it is "bacterial SSU rRNA". It matches the Rfam family "Bacterial small subunit ribosomal RNA", at positions 975 to 1482 of the family's 1533-position model. The record is from RNAcentral.
CAAGGCUUGACAUCCCUCUGACCGAUUUAGAGAUAGAUCUUUCCCUUCGGGGACAGAGGUGACAGGUGGUGCAUGGUUGUCGUCAGCUCGUGUCGUGAGAUGUUGGGUUAAGUCCCGCAACGAGCGCAACCCUUAUCUUUAGUUGCCAGCAUUUAGUUGGGCACUCUAGAGAGACUGCCGGUGACAAACCGGAGGAAGGUGGGGAUGACGUCAAAUCAUCAUGCCCCUUAUGUCUUGGGCUACACACGUGCUACAAUGGUUGGUACAAAGGGCUGCAAGCCAGCGAUGGUUAGCCAAUCCCAUAAAGCCAAUCUCAGUUCGGAUUGCACUCUGCAACUCGAGUGCAUGAAGUUGGAAUCGCUAGUAAUCGUGGAUCAGCAUGCCACGGUGAAUACGUUCCCGGGCCUUGUACACACCGCCCGUCACACCAUGGGAGUUGGUUCUACCCGAAGCCGGUCCGCCAACCGCAAGGAGGCAGCCGACCACGGUAGGGUCAGCGACUGGGGUG